CAACGACUCUCGGCAACGGAUAUCUCGGCUCUCGCAUCGAUGAAGAACGUAGCGAAAUGCGAUACUUGGUGUGAAUUGCAGAAUCCCGUGAACCAUCGAGUCUUUGAACGCAAGUUGCGCCAUAAAGCCGUCAGGCCGAGGGCACGUCUGCCUGGGCGUCACGC
This 164-nucleotide ribosomal RNA is filed under the name Tiquilia hispidissima. RNAcentral's name for it is "5.8S ribosomal RNA". It matches the Rfam family "5.8S ribosomal RNA". From Rfam's summary of the family: 5.8S ribosomal RNA (5.8S rRNA) is a component of the large subunit of the eukaryotic ribosome. It is transcribed by RNA polymerase I as part of the 45S precursor that also contains 18S and 28S rRNA. The record is from RNAcentral. Lineage: Eukaryota; Viridiplantae; Streptophyta; Magnoliopsida; Boraginales; Ehretiaceae.